RNAcentral lists this unclassified non-coding RNA (271 nucleotides) under Hevea brasiliensis (rubber tree). The record is from RNAcentral. Lineage: Eukaryota; Viridiplantae; Streptophyta; Magnoliopsida; Malpighiales; Euphorbiaceae.
UCAUUGGUGGAAGAAGUGAACAAGAGACGAUUGUUCAAGACCGUGGGAUCUGUUGAAAAUGUUGGUUUCCAGACACCUCGGGAUUCUAAAAAAGUAUCACAGCGGAAUUUGAGCAGAAGAAUAUAAAAAUGAGGUCUUAUGCAUGAACUUUUCUCUGAAGAGGAGAUAAAAGGAAAAUGCCUGAACAGCGAGCUCAACUAGCUCUUAUGAGGUGAGGAUACUUAUUAGAAUGAGGAAGGAUGGGAAGUCAUCCAUGUCAUAUGGCAUCAAG